RNAcentral lists this long non-coding RNA (635 nucleotides) under Zonotrichia albicollis (white-throated sparrow). RNAcentral's name for it is "lncRNA (ENSZALG00000002836.1)". The record is from RNAcentral. Lineage: Eukaryota; Metazoa; Chordata; Aves; Passeriformes; Passerellidae.
CACAGGCAGAGACUGCACCUUUUCCUGGCAGCCAGGGUUUUCUUGAACUACACUUCUCAUCUUCUCAUGUGAACUUGGACUUAAACAGCACAGAUUCCUCCUGUCAGGAGCAGUUUUACACCCAGAAGAGUCAAAAACUGAACACAGCAUCUGUGUGAUUGUAUUGAAGAUUUUAGAACAAGUUCCAGAACUUAUCAAGUUUUUUCAAGUAAUUCAAAAGGCUCUCACCCUCACCAAGGGACUUUGAAGAAAACAAAAUAGAUUUUUCACUGCUGAGAGGACUGAGCUUUGGCCAACAGCGUUGUGUAUGCCAGCCCUGUUCAGCUCAUCCAUGGAGAGACUGUGACCACCGCUUGGUGAGUCCAUGCUUUGGGAGGUGUCCCCACAGAAAGCCCCAUAGAGACGUCUCAAACAGCAGGUUAAAAUUAUGAACUGAUAAUUUAGCUACUAUUGACUGUGAGUUUUUUAAUCUGUCUGGACAUAUGAAUGGUGCAUUUGUUUUUCUGUUUACAACACGGAAAGAGGAAACUCCCAUGAGAAUCUAAAAGAUAUAUGCUUACACAAAAAUGACUGUACCUCACCCUGUGAAUCAGUCUGCAAUGAAUUGAAGAUGGUGUAAGUAAUUUCUUCAAAAU